This is a long non-coding RNA of Betta splendens (Siamese fighting fish), 513 nucleotides long. RefSeq lists it as uncharacterized. The transcript has 4 exons. The record is from RefSeq and is a predicted model, not a curated record. NCBI's taxonomy places the organism in Eukaryota, Metazoa, Chordata, Actinopteri, Anabantiformes, Osphronemidae.
GUCAUUGUACGCUCACCUGAGAAUUUCUUUUCUUGUAAAAUAGGUACAGUCCUGCAAACACGACAGGAAUGAGCUUGAUUUCAUGCGGAUGCAGCGUUUCUCAUACAGUGUGUUGUUUAAUCACCGGCCACGUAAUUAUUCCUCCCGUUGAUUCGGAUCUUCUGCCUUUGUUUGCUCUCUGCCUGGAGGAAAACGCCAGCUUUAAUUACUCAGCGAGGUGUGAAUUAAAACACGUCCUGGAAUGUCGCUGCGCUGCCAAAAAUAAACUCGAGCCAAAUUAAAACCACAGCGACGUUUCCAAUUCUGAUUAUUGGAAUCAAUGGAAGUAGAUGGAUGAUGACCCUAAACAGGCUGUGAAAGAAAACAUGGUUCAGAGCCUUCCUUCCUUUUCAGACUGAGCUGUCGUCACCCAGGUGCAGCUCAGCGCCCUCUAGUGGUGGAGAGGAGGCUGUGCAGACUGGCCUCCGAUCAGAUGUCUGUCAAAAAAAAGCCAAUCUACACAGUCGUCAUUCA